UCUCCCGAUCACCCACAAGGAUACUGUUUACACAGAUGUCUGUGACUAUUGAUCUCUAGAUCAGUUUCGUACUGGAACGGAGGCCCUUCAUACAGCUUUGUAAGCCGGGGAAGUUCAAGAAUUACCCUUGCCAAGCCUCUACUGCUCUUAUUGGACAUGCUCUCCUUACACAAAAAUUCCAGGAGCAUUUCCAGAGGAGUCUGGGGAUGACAGAAGGGUGUCUUCAGAUAGUCACUGUCCUUGUAAGUGGAUAUACAAUAGCGGAGGAAUGGGGUUUUUUUUCUUUUCUUUUUUUCAGAGCUGGGGACCGAACCCAGGGCCUUCCGCUUGCUAGGCAAGCGCUCUACCACUGAGCUAAAUCCCCAACCCCAGGAAUAGUUUUUUUACUCACCUAGAACACACAUGAACUCUGGAGGCUAUGAACCUGUUCUAGUGUGCUUUUCUGUUGCUGUGGUAAAAUACUUGGACCAAAAACAAGUUAGAGGAAGAAAGGGCUUUUUUCAGGUUACACUUUCAGGGUACAGUCCGUCGUUGUGGGAGGUCAGACCAGGAACUCAAGGCAGGGCUGCUUUGCUAGUCCAUGCAGCCUCCUCUUUGGUGGGGACUCACUCACAGCUGAGGAAGUAAAGCAGGAACCAGAGGAUGCUGCUUGCUAACAGCUCUGCUUGCUCCUCACUCAGGCGCAUGCUCAGCUAGUUUUCUUAUACAGCCCCGGCCCAGCACCCAGGGUUGGUGCUGUCCACAGUAGGCACAGGACCUUCCUCACCAAUCAUAAAUUAAGACUGUCCCUCACAGAUGUGCCCACAGAGCAACCUGAUUUGGGCAAUCCUUCAAUUGAGACUCCUUCAGAAGAUGACUCUAGGCUACGCCAAGUUCAGUACUGAAACUAACUAAAACAGAACCUGUUAUCAGUUAUAGAAAGAGUAAUUAGGACAAUGAAAACAUUCCAUUCUGAGGGGAUGGGAGUCCUGGGUUCACAGUAGCAUCAUGAAAACUCCAGCUUCUGAGCUCCAUUAGAGCCAGGGUCUCUCUUCAAGAGAGACAUGAAACAACAACAUCUUUGCCUCUAGAUAUCACCCCAGUGAGAGAAUGAACAAGUGACUCCCCUGGUCUCUCUUGAUCAGCCAAAGAGUUCAUCAGAGUUGCUUACAGCAGCGCGGGGGUUGGGUUACUCACAGCAUCGUGUGUGACCCAGAGAGUCAUGUCACCCAAGAGCCCACUCCGACACGGCUAACGACCGUGAAUACUGCUCUGCUAGAGUUCUCUGAAGAAUCUACAAGAAGGUACAGCAUCCAAGAGUCCCGUAACCACAGCAACCGUUAGCUGCUUAUGUAACCCCAGAAAGGGGACUCUUGGAAACUUUUUCAGUCUCAUUAUCUCUUUCACUCCUGCAAAGCAAUGUUUCGAUCUGGAGUAAAUAAUUGUCCAGCAUUCCCUCUCUUCCUCCAGCUCUUACAUCCACACAAGUCUUUGCAAUGUUCCCACGUACAGGGAAAAUGUAGAUGUCAAGAGCAUGGACCAAGAGUAAUACACACUUUCCUUAUCGAUUUGGCCAGCUAUGAGUCUCCACCGUAGCACUGAGGGAAAAAAGAAAUUUCACUUCAGGACAGUGAUUGACAGAAGCUGCAUUGUUUGGGUGUGAAUGUGCAUGCUUAGACAGUAAUGUGAUAAACAUGUUCAUCAAUGUAACAGAACAAUAGCCAUAGACUCCACUCCAAAGCCUACGGCCUCUGCUGCCACAGGAUUUCACCACCUUCCAGUACGGAUCCUUCCCAGGGUUCUCCCCUGGGAAGUUGGCUUUACACUCAACCACAAAGUAGUCAGUUCACUGCAGCCGUACCCCUGUCAUACCAGCAGGACUGUCCUGACCUGGCCUGUGCUGACCACAAAACCAUUUGCCACAGUUCUCCCCAGAAUCUUGCUUAGCCCUUUUCUGACACUGUAAAUGUUAACUGGUAGGAAAGGAGUUUUUACCCUAGUCUGAUUUCCUCACGUCUUAAUCUGAAAACAAAAAGUGCUCAAGCUCUGCCCAGUGUGGAGUCAGAGCCUCCUCCUGGCUGCCUUCAGCAAUCAGUCCCCUUCUGCUGCCUGAAGAUCAAGAUGGCUCCUUCAGCACCAUGUCUGCCUACAUGCUGCCAGACUUCCCACCAUGAUCAUAAUGAAACCUCUGACGCUGUAAGCCAGCCCCAAUUAAAUGUUUGCCUUUAUAAGAGUUUCCUUGGUCAUAAUGUCUCCUCACAGCAAUAAAACCCUAACAAAGACAAGCUUCUUGGGUCUGAUGGACUCUAAGCUGGACCCACUGUUUUGCUUUGUUUUUUUCCAUUGACCACACCUUGCUACUGAAACGACCUUGGGCUGCUCUAACAACUCGUCCUCGGUGUACUUUCACCCAAGGCAGAAAUACAGACAGUGCACUCUCAGGGAUAGAGAGGAUUAUGUACCUCCAGGACAAGACGAAUCUUUUUUACCCAUGUAGCACUAUCUACCCACUGUGCCCAUUGCCUCGGGUGCUAUCAGGGGUUUCCAUGAACCCAAGCACAUCGGGACCAGCAUCCACCAAUGCCUACACAUUCUGCAUAGAAGCAAGGAAACAGCAAACUGAAGAUCCACACGGGCCGGCCAGUUGCCCCGGCAGGUGACCUUGACCACACCUUCAGGGAGGCCACUGAUAUCCUCUUCCCCACAGCAGGUGCAGUGGGGAUCACCAACUCUUGCUCCUUUGGUGGGGUGCCCUUGGGCUUGAAAGCCUUCCAGAUUCUCCCACACACAAGCUCUGUCCUUUCUUUUGUCCUCCCUUGGUUGCUUUAGCACUCUCUGAACUCCCUUUGAAAGCCAGUUCAGGUCACUGGGACCCAGCAGCACCUCUUCUGUUUCAGAGAGCAUUCCCUACCCUGAGGCUCAGCAGAGCCACCGACGCACAGCAGACCAGAGGGCCCUGACAACACAAAUCUGUUUCUUAUGUCUCUGGUAAACACAGACUCAUCUGCUCAGUGAACUGUGCGUCUAUACCACCACAGCCCUGACAGUCACUCCCACCACAGUCUUUCCCAGCAAGUGGCAGACUGGCAUGCACACCUGUCCCAUUAGUGCCCCCUUCCCAGGGACUGCAAUACAUUCCCUGCUCUAUCAGCCGUUCGGGGUGAUCCCUGUACUUCUUUUAUCAAGGAGUUGCUCCACUCAUAAGAUAAGUAGGAACAGUCCACUGGGAUUUCCUCUAUGGUCCAGUCUGACUUUCCCCCAUAAGAGACAGCCAGGCCUCAGACACAUUCCUUAUUGUCCAUAGCGGAGGCAGGAUAUCUCAUGCCACAUCAGGACAAGUGGCCCUAUCCAGAUUGUUCAUGCAGAUGCUCCAUCUUGAGACAAGACCGUCUACAGUGAGAUCAGGCACCACCUCUCCCACCUCAUCUCUGUUUCUGUGUGUCCUGUUUGGUACUGAAAAGAAAAUUAUACGAAUUCUAGGUUUAAAAAUAUAAAAAUUAAAAGAAUAAACCCCAAAAGGCCACAGACCCAGGGCUAAGCCCUGCAGCCAGGACUAGCAGGCCAUAAAGAUAAAGGAGCACAGGAAACACUGUUCAGGCAGGACUGACAAGCCAUAAAGAAAAGGAAUGCAGGAACCAGCCUGAGUUAAUGGGACUGAUUCAUGGGACGUCUGGCAGGAAGACAUCUCCCCCCAGCUCACUCAGGGCCAUCCUCCAGACCCUGAUAAGCCCCUGACUUCUAGCACGUACUCUUUCUGCUUUGUUCUCACUGCUAUGUUUGAAUGAGCCAAUUGUAUGUAACCACGCCAAAACCCCCUAGCCUUCUCUAUAUAACCCUCUGACUUUUGAGUUUCGGGGCCGACACCUCUGUCUCCUGCGCGGGAUAUGUGUCGGCCCGGAGAUCUCUGUAAUAGGUCUCCGUAAUAAACCUCGCCUUUGCUUAUUACAUCCAAAAUGGUCUCUCUGUGUCUGGGGUCCACAAUUUCCCAAGACUUGAGUAAGGGUCUCUCUGCGUGGGAUCUUUCAUAUUUAUGGGGGCUCGUCCGGGAUCUUCGCGACCACCCCAGACUCCGAAGACCCCUUGGAGGCUAAAAGACCUACAGGUGAUACAGAAAAAAAUCUGCUCACAGCUGACAGCAGCCUAUGCCUCGGGGACCUCUGAGACAUCUCAUCAGUUCCAGGUCGGAAGCAGCUACACUGAGCCCAGACACUCGAGCCUCGCUAGAAAGGACCGUACCUGGUGCUGCUGACCACCCUGACAGCCGUCAAUUCUCAGCCCUCACCAGCCGUGUACUAGCUGUUAGGGCUGAGAGCUGGGACCUAGAGGGAAAUUCAGUCAUGUUUGUCCUGGGUUCCAUCGAGAUAGGUGUGGGGAUAGGCUUGAUUUCUAUUACAAAUGAUGUAACAUUACAUAUGUUAAUACUCCUAACACUUCUUGGGACUGUGCCUCAGGGAUCACUACCUGUAUAAGUUUAAAAGUUCUGAAAGACAGUCAUGACCUUGAUAUAUAGGUUCAGAUAGUGUCCAGAUAGAAUCCUGAUGCUAAAAACUUAAUAAAAAAAGAGUUAAAAAUUACUUAGGGCUAGGGCUAUCUAGGUGCUGCAAGGGCAGCACAAGGACAUCUGCUGUUGCCCUACAAUACAAAGCUUAUAGAGAAUUCAGAACUGCCAUUGACUCAGAUAUAAAAAAAAAUAAAAGACUUUUUAGCUGACCUCCAAGAAUACCUAACCUCCCUCUCAGAGGUAGUCCUUCAAAAUAAAAAAAAGAUUAGACCUGAUAUUCCUUAAAGAAGGAGUCUGUGUGCUAUACUGAAAGAAAAAUGUUGCUUCUAUACAGACCAUUCAGGAAUAAUUAAAGACUCCAUAAAUAAACUUAAAAAAAGGUUAGACAAAAGACAGACAGAAAAACACAUCAGAGAUGGUUCGAGAGCUAGUUUAGUAGAUCUCCCUGGAUGACUACCCUACACUCUGCUACAGCUGGGCCAUUAUUAAUAAUUUUCUUGGUUUUAGUUUUUGGCUCCUGCGUGACAAACAGGUUAAUUGCUUUUGUUAAAAAUUGAGUGGGUGCUGUGCGGUUGAUGGUUGUGAGACAACAGUACCAGUCAGUUAGGACAACUGGUGAGACCAAAUAAGACUUGAUAUCAAAAUUCUAAGAUUAGAAUUAUUUAGUAGGAGAAGACGGGAAUGAAAAGAAAAUUAUACGAAUUCUAGGUUUAAAAAUAUAAAAAUUAAAAGAAUAAACCCCAAAAGGCCACAGACCCAGGGCUAAGCCCUGCAGCCAGGACUAGCAGGCCAUAAAGAUAAAGGAGCACAGGAAACACUGUUCAGGCAGGACUGACAAGCCAUAAAGAAAAGGAAUGCAGGAACCAGCCUGAGUUAAUGGGACUGAUUCAUGGGACGUCUGGCAGGAAGACAUCUCCCCCCAGCUCACUGAGGGCCAUCCUCCGGCCCCUGAUAAGCCCCUGACUUCUAGCACGUACUCUUUCUGCUUUGUUCUCACUGCUAUGUUUGAAUGAGCCAAUUGUAUGUAACCACGCCAAAACCCCCUAGCCUUCUCUAUAUAACCCUCUGACUUUUGAGUUUCGGGGCCGACACCUCUGUCUCCUGCGCGGGAUAUGUGUCGGCCCGGAGAUCUCUGUAAUAGGUCUCCGUAAUAAACCUCGCCUUUGCUUAUUACAUCCAAAA
Molecule: long non-coding RNA, 5662 nt
Organism: Rattus norvegicus (Norway rat)
Lineage: Eukaryota; Metazoa; Chordata; Mammalia; Rodentia; Muridae
Source: RefSeq, a predicted model, not a curated record